RNAcentral lists this ribosomal RNA (1207 nucleotides) under Mactra alta. Its description in RNAcentral is "16S ribosomal RNA". The stretch from base 548 to 1207 matches the Rfam family "Archaeal large subunit ribosomal RNA", at positions 1423 to 2935 of the family's 2987-position model. The record is from RNAcentral. Lineage: Eukaryota; Metazoa; Mollusca; Bivalvia; Venerida; Mactridae.
AAGCCCUUUGCAAUAUAGAAAAAUCUGUUUUUUUGUGGUAUUUUUAAAGAGGUCUAUUGUUUCUGAGCUGAGAAGGCUGUCAAGGAAAAAUAAAUAAAAGUUCUUGAAGUGCGUACUUUUUGUAUAAUGGCUCAUAGAGAGAAAUAAAAUAUUUUGUUUCCAGAAAAUUUUAGAGCUAUUUUUUUUAUUUAUAUUGUUGCAACAAUAUGAAAAAUUAAAAAUAGAUGUGACAUGUAAGGCGAAAAAGUUGAUAUCUGGUUGAAGAGGAAAUACAUUUAGUGUAGUGAAAAGCAUAGAUAUAGUUGAGACCACAGCUUUUAUCUGGUUUUGCAUGAGACAACAAGGGGUGAGCUUUGUUGUUUAUUAAGGAGAGUAUUAAUAAAGUAGGGAUAAAAUUUUCAAACUUUCAAAAUUUUUAAUAAAAGUUUUUAUAUUUCUUUUUUAUAGCUAUUCUUCAUUAUAAAAAAAUUUUUUUUUUAAUAUUAGUAUGAGAUUAGUAUAGUAAAUGUAAAUGAUUUUGUUUUUAUCAAGGUUUUAAAAAACUAGACGUGGUGGCUUAAAAUAUUUUACAAAGGAACUAGGCAAAAAUAUUUCCCGCCUGUUUAACAAAAACAUGGCUCCUUGAAAACGAAGAUAAGGAGUCGGCCCUGCCCGGUGGCGUCGUGCUUAACGGCUGCAACGAGUAGUUGUGCUAAGGUAGCGCAAUUAAUUGUCCUUUAAUAGGGGAAAGGAAUGAAAGGGUUGACGAGGAAAAAACUGUCUCUGUAAAAUCGCUUGAAGUUUUCUUUUAAGUGAAAAGACUUAAGUGAAGAAAUAAGAAGAGAAGACCCCGUCGAGCUUGAAUAAUAGCUUCAUUGAAGGGGGUUAUAAAGUUUUGUUGGGGCAACAUAAAGAAAAAGAUAUUUCUUUAACUGUUUUAUAAAGAUCCAUUUUGAAUGAAUAAAGCAAAAGUUACCGUGGGGAUAACAGCGUAAUUUUCUUUUAGAGUUCAUAUCGAAGAGAAAGUUUGCGACCUCGAUGUUGGAUUAAAAUUUCCUUUUGGUGCAGGAGUUAAAGGGGUGGGACUGUUCGUCCUUUAAAAUUUUACAUGAUCUGAGUUCAAACCGGCGUAAGCUAGGUUGGUUUCUAUCUAUUGAAGAUUCUUUGUCGUACGUAAGGAUUCAGAGAAUAAAAUAUUUUUAUCUAGUGGUUAAAAGUAAUAACUAAG